GAUGAACGCUGGCGGCGUGCCUAACACAUGCAAGUCGAACGAACCCGAUCUUCGGAAAGGGUUAGUGGCGGAUGGGUGAGUAACACGUAGGUGACCUGCCCUGAUGAGGGGGAUAACUACUGGAAACGGUAGCUAAUACCCCAUGAGAUCCUCGGGUCGUACUGGGGAUGAAAGGUGAGAGCCGCAUCAGGAGGGGCCUGCGGCCCAUCAGGUAGUUGGUGGGGUAACGGCCUACCAAGCCGAUGACGGGUAGCUGGUCUGAGAGGAUGGUCAGCCACACUGGAACUGAAACACGGUCCAGACUCCUACGGGAGGCUG
RNAcentral lists this ribosomal RNA (318 nucleotides) under uncultured Chloroflexota bacterium. RNAcentral describes it as "bacterial SSU rRNA". It matches the Rfam family "Bacterial small subunit ribosomal RNA", at positions 28 to 351 of the family's 1533-position model. Lineage: Bacteria; Bacillati; Chloroflexota. The record is from RNAcentral.